UAGGGAAUCUUCCACAAUGGACGAAAGUCUGAUGGAGCAACGCCACGUGAGUGAAGAAGGGUUUCGGCUCGUAAAACUCUGUUGUUAAAGAAGAACAUAUCUGAGAGUAACUGUUCAGGCAUUGACGGUAUUUAACCAGAAAGCCACGGCUAACUACGUGCCAG
This 164-nucleotide ribosomal RNA is filed under the name uncultured bacterium. Its description in RNAcentral is "partial 16S rRNA". It matches the Rfam family "Bacterial small subunit ribosomal RNA", at positions 355 to 511 of the family's 1533-position model. The record is from RNAcentral.